CGUAAGACUAGUGUUAGUCAUCUUAUUAGGUUUAAGGGUACCUAGACGGUAAUUAACUCUAAAUGAGUACUUUUACUUAGAGUUUAUGUGAGAAGGAAGAACUUUGGUAGUAGGGAGUAAAUAACUUUGAUACCAAAGGAACUGAUAACGGCGAAGGCAUCCUUCUAUGUAAAACUAGACGUUGAGGGACGAAGGCCUGGGUAGCAAGAAGGAUU
RNAcentral lists this ribosomal RNA (215 nucleotides) under uncultured bacterium. RNAcentral's name for it is "partial 16S ribosomal RNA". The stretch from base 23 to 215 matches the Rfam family "Bacterial small subunit ribosomal RNA", at positions 551 to 779 of the family's 1533-position model. The record is from RNAcentral.